RNAcentral lists this ribosomal RNA (468 nucleotides) under uncultured bacterium. Its description in RNAcentral is "partial 16S ribosomal RNA". It matches the Rfam family "Bacterial small subunit ribosomal RNA", at positions 28 to 507 of the family's 1533-position model. The record is from RNAcentral.
GACGAACGCUGGCGGCGUGCUUAACACAUGCAAGUCGAACGGUGAAGCUCCAGCUUGCUGGAGUGGAUCAGUGGCGAACGGGUGAGUAACACGUGAGCAACCUGCCCCUGACUCUGGAAUAAGCGCUGGAAACGGCGUCUAAUACUGGAUACGAGAAGGGUCCGCAUGGGCACUUUCUGGAAAGUUUUUCGGUUGGGGAUGGGCUCGCGGCCUAUCAGCUUGUUGGUGAGGUAAUGGCUCACCAAGGCGACGACGGGUAGCCGGCCUGAGAGGGCGACCGGCCACACUGGGACUGAGACACGGCCCAGACUCCUACGGGAGGCAGCAGUGGGGAAUAUUGCACAAUGGGCGAAAGCCUGAUGCAGCGACGCCGCGUGAGGGAUGACGGCCUUCGGGUUGUAAACCUCUUUCAGCAGGGAAGAAGCGAAAGUGACGGUACCUGCAGAAAAAGCGCCGGCUAACUACGUG